UACGGGGGGGGCAAGCGUUGUUCGGAAUUACUGGGCGUAAAGGGCGCGUAGGCGGUUUGCUAAGUCGAAUGUGAAAACUCUGGGCUUAACCCAGAGCCUGCAUUCGAUACUGGCAGGCUAGAGUUCUGGAGGGGAUAGCGGAAUUCCUGGUGUAGCGGUGAAAUGCGUAGAUAUCAGGAGGAACACCGGUGGCGAAGGCGGCUAUCUGGACAGAGUCUGACGCUGAGGCGCGAAAGCUAGGGGAGCAAACAGG
This 253-nucleotide ribosomal RNA is filed under the name uncultured bacterium. RNAcentral describes it as "partial 16S ribosomal RNA". It matches the Rfam family "Bacterial small subunit ribosomal RNA", at positions 524 to 776 of the family's 1533-position model. The record is from RNAcentral.